Molecule: non-coding RNA, 45 nt
Organism: Schistosoma margrebowiei
Lineage: Eukaryota; Metazoa; Platyhelminthes; Trematoda; Strigeidida; Schistosomatidae
Source: Rfam
AUUCAACUGAUGAGUCUUAAAUAGGACGAAACAUACAUCCUGGAU